This 429-nucleotide ribosomal RNA is filed under the name Chloroflexota bacterium. RNAcentral describes it as "Chloroflexi bacterium partial 16S ribosomal RNA". It matches the Rfam family "Bacterial small subunit ribosomal RNA", at positions 355 to 776 of the family's 1533-position model. Lineage: Bacteria; Bacillati; Chloroflexota. The record is from RNAcentral.
UAGGGAAUCUUCGGCAAUGGACGAAAGUCUGACCGAGCAACGCCGCGUGAGUGAAGAAGGUUUUCGGAUCGUAAAACUCUGUUGUUAGAGAAGAACAAGGACGUUAGUAACUGAACGUCCCCUGACGGUAUCUAACCAGAAAGCCACGGCUAACUACGUGCCAGCAGCCGCGGUAAUACGUAGGUGGCAAGCGUUGUCCGGAUUUAUUGGGCGUAAAGCGAGCGCAGGCGGUUUCUUAAGUCUGAUGUGAAAGCCCCCGGCUCAACCGGGGAGGGUCAUUGGAAACUGGCAGGCUAGAGUCUCGUAGAGGGGGGUAGAAUUCCAGGUGUAGCGGUGAAAUGCGUAGAGAUCUGGAGGAAUACCGGUGGCGAAGGCGGCCCCCUGGACGAAGACUGACGCUCAGGUGCGAAAGCGUGGGGAGCAAACAGG